Molecule: ribosomal RNA, 486 nt
Filed under: uncultured bacterium
Lineage: Bacteria
Description: bacterial SSU rRNA
Rfam family: Bacterial small subunit ribosomal RNA
Source: RNAcentral
AACGAACGCUGGCGGCAUGCCUAACACAUGCAAGUCGAACGAGACCUUCGGGUCUAGUGGCGCACGGGUGCGUAACGCGUGGGAAUCUGCCCUUGGGUUCGGAAUAACUCAGAGAAAUUUGAGCUAAUACCGGAUGAUGACGUAAGUCCAAAGAUUUAUCGCCCAAGGAUGAGCCCGCGUAAGAUUAGCUUGUUGGUAGGGUAAUGGCCUACCAAGGCGACGAUCUUUAGCUGGUCUGAGAGGAUGAUCAGCCACACUGGGACUGAGACACGGCCCAGACUCCUACGGGAGGCAGCAGUGGGGAAUAUUGGACAAUGGGCGAAAGCCUGAUCCAGCAAUGCCGCGUGAGUGAUGAAGGCCUUAGGGUUGUAAAGCUCUUUUGUCCGGGAGCAAGUCCUACUGGCUAAUAUCUAGUGGGGAUGAGAGUACUGGAAGAAUAAGCACCGGCUAACUACGUGCCAGCAGCCGCGGUAAACUAGUCCUACG